This 507-nucleotide long non-coding RNA is filed under the name Brassica napus (rape). Its description in RNAcentral is "long non-coding RNA (BNAP_LNC006345)". Lineage: Eukaryota; Viridiplantae; Streptophyta; Magnoliopsida; Brassicales; Brassicaceae. The record is from RNAcentral.
AAAAAUGAAAACUUUCCAAAAAUAGAAUUUUUGAGAAUUUUAUCUAAAAUAUACAACCUAUUGAUUAAAAACUCUAAAACAAUACUCAUCUAUCCACAAAUAUUAUUGUUAUCCUAAUUUCUAAAUCACAAACCCUAAUCUACAAUAUUUCUCAAAAAAUGAAAACUUUCCAAAAAUAGCAGUUUUUAAGAAAAUUAUUUAAAAAUACAACCUAUUGAUUAAAAACUCUAAAACAAUACUCACCUGUCCACAAAUAUUAUUGUUAUCAUAAUUUCUAAAUCACAAACCCUAAUCUACAAUAUUUCUCAAAAAAUGAAAACUUUUCAAAAAUAGCAGUUUUUAAGAAAAUUAUUUCAAAAUACAACCUAUUGAUGAAAAACUCAGAAAAAUAUUCAUCUAUCCACAAAUAUUUUUGUUAUCCUAAUUUCUAAAUCACAAACCUUAAUCUACAGUAUUUUUCUAAAAAUGAAAACUUUCCAAAAAUAACAGUUUUUAAGAAAAUUAUUU